This 283-nucleotide long non-coding RNA is filed under the name Linum usitatissimum (flax). RNAcentral's name for it is "long non-coding RNA (LUSI_LNC007181)". The record is from RNAcentral. Lineage: Eukaryota; Viridiplantae; Streptophyta; Magnoliopsida; Malpighiales; Linaceae.
UGAUGUGCUGUCAAAAACGGUUAAAAUCCUAAUCUCAUUCAACAAAGAUGAGAUACAUCCAUGUUUGUUAGAGUUUUUUCUUAUUUUAUUUUCGGGUUGUUUCUUUAUUUUAUUUUUUCAUUUUUUAGACUUUUUUAUAUUGGGUGAUUCUUAUUUGGAAUAUAUGUUCUUGAAAAAAAGGAUAGUAACUUUUAUAUUUGUAAAAACUCACAAUUUUUAUUAAUCUCAUUAAUAAAAAUUACACCUCUAAAAUAGAUAUUUUGUACGUUUCACAACGAUUUUA